This is a long non-coding RNA of Epinephelus moara (kelp grouper), 1258 nucleotides long. RefSeq lists it as uncharacterized. Lineage: Eukaryota; Metazoa; Chordata; Actinopteri; Perciformes; Serranidae. The record is from RefSeq and is a predicted model, not a curated record. The transcript is spliced from 3 exons.
AAAUAGCUUUUACCACCCAACUGCUGCCCCAUGCUCCACCUGCAAAUUCUGUUUGACAGUUAAAGAAACACCUCCACCAGCUGCCUCUCACUGCCACCUUCAGGUUUAAACUCUGCCAACUCCAGCUUCUGCCAGCAACCUGCUGCCACCGCCUCCAGCUGCAGAUUCUGGAAGACAGCUGCAGCCAAACCAUCUAUCGCCUCCUUAGUGUCCAGCUCCAUCCUACACCGAAACAGCUACGGCCAAACCUCCACCUCCAGCCUCUGCCAGCAACCUGCAGAUUCUGGCAGACCUCUGCAGUCAACCCUCCAUCUACAGCCUCUGCCAGCAACCUGCACCACUACCUCCAACUGCAGGUUCUAGCAGACAGCUGCAGUCAAACCUCCACCUCCAGCCUCUGCCAGCAACCUGCAGCCGCCGCCUCCACCUGCCAGUUCUAGCAGACAGCUACGGCCAAACCUCCAUCUACAGCCCUUUUCAGCAACCUGCAGGUGAUGCCUCCACCUGCAAAUUCUGACAGACAGCUGCGGCCAAACUUCAGCCUACAGCCUCUGCCAAUAACCUGCAGCCGCCGCCUCCACCUGCAGGUUGUGACCAAACCUCUAUCUCCAGCCUCCUCCAGCCUCCUGCACCUCUGACUCCUGUCCUGCCCCCAUGUGAAGACCUCAGUUUAACAGAAGGGACCAGAGAUACACAUGUAUUUCAGAGACACUGUGUGAAAGAAGAGCACACCUGUCAGCAUGAACCGGGCUGAACUUCAUCUACCAGAGACAGCUCCUUUUCCUCCACUCGUCUGAACUCAAGUCCCUGAUGAUGGACUUCAACAUCUACCAGGAGCUGAUCAACGGCAAAGAAGACCGGAGAUGAUUAUGCCUCCUCCCCAUGCAGAGAUACUCCCAUUCUCUCUCCCUCCCACUCUCCCCCUCUCUCCACCCCUCCCUCACUCUAACUCCCACACUCAGUGCCCCCUUCUCUCCCUCCAUCCCUCCCUCCUCUGUCACCCCCUCCAACCCAACCGGUCGAGGCAGAUGGCCGCCCACCAUAGAGCCUGGUUCUGCUCGAGGUUUCUGCCUGUUAAAAGGCAGUUUUUCCUCGCCACCGUUGCCAAAGUGCUUGCUCAUGGUGGGAAUUUGUUGGGUCUCUGUUAACUAAAGAGUAUAGUCUAGACCUGCUCUGUAUGAAAUAUAAGUACAUUUGACUUGAUUUGGCUUUAAAAUGCUUGUGUGUGUCUUUCACUUUCUUAUAAGUCAUCAUGCCC